CUAGCAUCAAUCUAUUGAUACGAAAAUUCGCUUGACACCGGGAUACUGGAGUUAACAGUAAAGUAGACCUUCUAAGGGUGUGACCUGCAAAAAGUCCUGACCAAAAGUUGCUCCGACGAGGAUCCUCUGAGACUCAAGUCAGAAUUCUUAUUCAACAUAAGGAGAAGCGUGAGAGGUAGAGUAAUGACGUACCUUUUAGGAGUCCUUUUUGAGUCUUCUUUAUAGAUGAAGAGCUGGAGCUUUAGUUGGCAGGUUGAUUAGCAUUAUCCCGUGAUUCACGC
RNAcentral lists this long non-coding RNA (281 nucleotides) under Elaeis guineensis (African oil palm). RNAcentral describes it as "long non-coding RNA (EGUI_LNC031017)". Lineage: Eukaryota; Viridiplantae; Streptophyta; Magnoliopsida; Arecales; Arecaceae. The record is from RNAcentral.